UUAGAGUUUKKWUCAUGKCUCAGGACGAACGCUGGCGGCGUGCGUAAUACAUGCAAGUCGAACGAACUCUGGUAUUGAUUGGUGCUUGCAUCAUGAUUUACAUUUGAGUGAGUGGGCGAACUGGUGAGUAACACGUGGGAAACCUGCCCAGAAGCGGGGGAUAACACCUGGAAACAGAUGCUAAUACCGCAUAACAACUUGGACCGCAUGGUCCGAGUUUGAAAGAUGGCUUCGGCUAUCACUUUUGGAUGGUCCCGCGGCGUAUUAGCUAGAUGGUGGGGUAACGGCUCACCAUGGCAAUGAUACGUAGCCGACCUGAGAGGGUAAUCGGCCACAUUGGGACUGAGACACGGCCCAAACUCCUACGGGAGGCAGCAGUAGGGAAUCUUCCACAAUGGACGAAAGUCUGAUGGAGCAACGCCGCGUGAGUGAAGAAGGGUUUCGGCUCGUAAAACUCUGUUGUUAAAGAAGAACAUAUCUGAGAGUAACUGUUCAGGUAUUGACGGUAUUUAACCAGAAAGCCACGGCUAACUACGUGCCAGCAGCCGCGGUAAUACGUAGGUGGCAAGCGUUGUCCGGAUUUAUUGGGCGUAAAGCGAGCGCAGGCGGUUUUUUAAGUCUGAUGUGAAAGCCUUCGGCUCAACCGAAGAAGUGCAUCGGAAACUGGGAAACUUGAGUGCAGAAGAGGACAGUGGAACUCCAUGUGUAGCGGUGAAAUGCGUAGAUAUAUGGAAGAACACCAGUGGCGAAGGCGGCUGUCUGGUCUGUAACUGACGCUGAGGCUCGAAAGUAUGGGUAGCAAACAGGAUUAGAUACCCUGGUAGUCCAUACCGUAAACGAUGAAWRMURAGUGUUGGAGGGUUUCCGCCCUUCAGUGCUGCAGCUAACGCAUWAAGCWWUUCCCSSU
This 907-nucleotide ribosomal RNA is filed under the name Lactiplantibacillus pentosus. RNAcentral's name for it is "bacterial SSU rRNA". Lineage: Bacteria; Bacillati; Bacillota; Bacilli; Lactobacillales; Lactobacillaceae. The record is from RNAcentral.